ACGAACGCUGGCGGCGUGCUUAAUACAUGCAAGUCAACUUGACUUUAGAUAGCAAUAUCGAAAGUAGGGUGGCGCACGGGUGCGUAACGCGUAGGUAAUCUGCCCUGAGGUCUGACAUAACCCGUCGAAAGGCGGGCUAACAUCAGAUGAUAUAUAAUCACGACAUCGUGGAAAUAUCAAAUCUUCGGAGCCUUGGGAUGAGCCUGCGUCUGAUUAGGUAGUUGGCGGAGUAAUAGCCCACCAAGCCUACGAUCAGUAGCUGGUCUGAGAGGAUGAUCAGCCACACUGGAACUGAGACACGGUCCAGACUCCUACGGGAGGCAGCAGUAAGGAAUAUUGCUCAAUGGGGGGAAACCCUGAAGCAGCAACGCCGCGUGAAGGAUGAAAUACUUUGUAUGUAAACUUCUGUAAGAUGGGAAAAAUAUUCUCCUCGGGAGAAUUGAUUGUACCAUCAGAGUAAGCCCCGGCUAACUACGUG
Molecule: ribosomal RNA, 478 nt
Filed under: uncultured bacterium
Lineage: Bacteria
Description: bacterial SSU rRNA
Rfam family: Bacterial small subunit ribosomal RNA
Source: RNAcentral